AAUGAACGUUGGCGGCGUGGAUUAGGCAUGCAAGUCGUACGGUGAGCUUCGGCUUAUAGUGGCGAAAGGGAGAGUAACGCGUGGUUACAUGCCCUCGGGACCGGGAUAGCGGCGGGAAACUGCCGGUAAUACCGGAUAAUAUCUUUGGAUCAAAGGUGUGAUUCCGCCCGAGGAUUGGACCGCGUUCUAUUAGCUUGUUGGCGGGGUAAUGGCCCACCAAGGCGACGAUGGAUACCGGGUGUGAGAGCAUGGCCCGGCUCACUGGGACUGAGACACUGCCCAGACACCUACGGGUGGCUGCAGUCGAGAAUCUUCGGCAAUGGGGGCAACCCUGACCGAGCGACGCCGCGUGCGGGACGAAGGCCUUCGGGUUGUAAACCGCUGUCAGUUGGGAGGAAGUGCCGGGGGGUUCUCCCCUCGGUUUGACCGAUCUUCAGAGGAAGGACGGGCUAAGUUCGUGCCAGCAGCCGCGGUAA
Molecule: ribosomal RNA, 476 nt
Filed under: uncultured bacterium
Lineage: Bacteria
Description: partial 16S ribosomal RNA
Rfam family: Bacterial small subunit ribosomal RNA
Source: RNAcentral